GCCUUGAUGGUGAAAUGGUAUACACGCAAGAUUCAAAAUUUUGUGCCGCAAGCAUGGAGGUUCGAAUCCUCUUCAAGGCA
Molecule: transfer RNA, 80 nt
Filed under: Aneura pinguis
Lineage: Eukaryota; Viridiplantae; Streptophyta; Jungermanniopsida; Metzgeriales; Aneuraceae
Also listed under: 1 other name
Description: tRNA-Leu
Rfam family: tRNA
About the family: Transfer RNA (tRNA) molecules are approximately 80 nucleotides in length. Their secondary structure includes four short double-helical elements and three loops (D, anti-codon, and T loops).
Source: RNAcentral